AGUGAACGCUGGCGGUAGGCCUAACACAUGCAAGUCGAACGGCAGCACAGUAAGAGCUUGCUCUUACGGGUGGCGAGUGGCGGACGGGUGAGGAAUACAUCGGAAUCUACUUUUUCGUGGGGGAUAACGUAGGGAAACUUACGCUAAUACCGCAUACGACCUACGGGUGAAAGCAGGGGAUCUUCGGACCUUGCGCGAUUGAAUGAGCCGAUGUCGGAUUAGCUAGUUGGUGGGGUAAAGGCCCACCAAGGCGACGAUCCGUAGCUGGUCUGAGAGGAUGAUCAGCCACACUGGAACUAAGACACGGUCCAGACUCCUACGGGAGGCAGCAGUGGGGAAUAUUGGACAAUGGGCGCAAGCCUGAUCCAGCCAUACCGCGUGGGUGAAGAAGGCCUUCGGGUUGUAAAGCCCUUUUGUUGGGAAAGAAAAGCAGCAGGUUAAUACCCCGCUGUUCUGACGGUACCCAAAGAAUAAGCACCGGCUAACUUCGUG
Molecule: ribosomal RNA, 492 nt
Filed under: uncultured bacterium
Lineage: Bacteria
Description: partial 16S ribosomal RNA
Rfam family: Bacterial small subunit ribosomal RNA
Source: RNAcentral